RNAcentral lists this ribosomal RNA (434 nucleotides) under uncultured Ruminococcus sp. RNAcentral describes it as "partial 16S ribosomal RNA". It matches the Rfam family "Bacterial small subunit ribosomal RNA", at positions 341 to 792 of the family's 1533-position model. The record is from RNAcentral. Lineage: Bacteria; Bacillati; Bacillota; Clostridia; Eubacteriales; Oscillospiraceae.
ACGGAAGGCAGCAGUGGGGAAUAUUGCACAAUGGGGGAAACCCUGAUGCAGCGACGCCGCGUGAGUGAUGAAGUAUUUCGGUAUGUAAAGCUCUAUCAGCAGGGAAGAAAAUGACGGUACCUGACUAAGAAGCACCGGCUAAAUACGUGCCAGCAGCCGCGGUAAUACGUAUGGUGCAAGCGUUAUCCGGAUUUACUGGGUGUAAAGGGAGCGUAGGCGGCAUGGCAAGUCAGAUGUGAAAGCCCGGGGCCCAACCCCGGAACUGCAUUUGAAACUGUCAGGCUAGAGUGCCGGAGAGGUAAGCGGAAUUCCUAGUGUAGCGGUGAAAUGCGUAGAUAUUAGGAGGAGCACCAGUGGCGAAGGCGGCUUACUGGACGGUAACUGACGCUGAGGCUCGAAAGCGUGGGGAGCAAACAGGAUUAGAUACCCUGGUA